Molecule: long non-coding RNA, 683 nt
Filed under: Dasypus novemcinctus (nine-banded armadillo)
Lineage: Eukaryota; Metazoa; Chordata; Mammalia; Cingulata; Dasypodidae
Description: lncRNA (ENSDNOG00000050698.1)
Source: RNAcentral
GGCGUACGGCCGGCCAAUUUUUCUCUGAACAUAGCCUGGGCCCACCCAUACUAGCUGUUCCUGCACUUGUCCGCAUCCAGCCUAGUCUCGGAGUUCCCAGUCGCGGACGCUGAGCUAGCUGGGGUUGAACUUACUUCGCGAACCUGGCUCACCCUCUCCCCGGCAGGAAACACCAACUGUGUCCUGGCCGGAAAUUGAGUCAGACCGCGAGGCCUUCUGGGAAAUGCUGUUCGGUAGUAGACCGGUGGCCUGGAGGCGGGUACUGAGCGAGGGUACGCUGUUACUGCAUCUGGCCCGGGCUUGCUUUCGGGUUUCCUUCCCUAAACCUCCUAGAAACUGCACGCUGGGACACGCUUUCGAGCAUUUCUUGCAGCCUGGCAAUCUCAGGAUUCUGCUCUUUCUGAGGAAGAAGAGGAUAUGACCAGAUCUCUUGUAAGUUUUAAGGCCUUAUUUUGUUUAUUGCCUUAUUUUGCAGUGUAGUUUUAGGGAGUUACCAUUAUCCAUCUAGUAAUUUGGAAAAAAAUCUAAACAGAUGAAAAUCAAAAUAAGGAAAAAAUACAAAUAGAAGAUAAAAACCAGGGGAAAUGUAAGAUAUGGAUGUAUAGGAAAAAGUCUAUAUACAAUUAUUAAAGAUGAAUUCAAAUUUGAAUGUGAUCUGGAGAGACCAACCAAACUGGGGCAUA